Molecule: ribosomal RNA, 465 nt
Filed under: uncultured bacterium
Lineage: Bacteria
Description: partial 16S ribosomal RNA
Rfam family: Bacterial small subunit ribosomal RNA
Source: RNAcentral
GACGAACGCUGGCGGCGUGCUUAACACAUGCAAGUCGUACGGUAAGGCCCUUUCGGGGGUACACGAGUGGCGAACGGGUGAGUAACACGUGAGUAACCUGCCCACAACUUUGGGAUAACGCUAGGAAACUGGUGCUAAUACUGGAUAUGUGCUCCUGCUGCAUGGUGGGGGUUGUAAAGCUCCGGCGGUUGUGGAUGGACUCGCGGCCUAUCAGCUUGUUGGUGGGGUAGUGGCCUACCAAGGCGGCGACGGGUAGCCGGCCUGAGAGGGUGACCGGCCACAUUGGGACUGAGAUACGGCCCAGACUCCUACGGGAGGCAGCAGUGGGGAAUAUUGCACAAUGGGCGCAAGCCUGAUGCAGCAACGCCGCGUGCGGGAUGACGGCCUUCGGGUUGUAAACCGCUUUCAGCAGGGACGAAGCUUUUUGUGACGGUACCUGCAGAAGAAGCACCGGCUAACUACGUG